Molecule: ribosomal RNA, 385 nt
Filed under: Klebsiella aerogenes
Lineage: Bacteria; Pseudomonadati; Pseudomonadota; Gammaproteobacteria; Enterobacterales; Enterobacteriaceae
Also listed under: 4 other names
Description: bacterial SSU rRNA
Rfam family: Bacterial small subunit ribosomal RNA
Source: RNAcentral
CUGCCAGUGAUAAACUGGAGGAAGGUGGGGAUGACGUCAAGUCAUCAUGGCCCUUACGAGUAGGGCUACACACGUGCUACAAUGGCAUAUACAAAGAGAAGCGACCUCGCGAGAGCAAGCGGACCUCAUAAAGUAUGUCGUAGUCCGGAUUGGAGUCUGCAACUCGACUCCAUGAAGUCGGAAUCGCUAGUAAUCGUAGAUCAGAAUGCUACGGUGAAUACGUUCCCGGGCCUUGUACACACCGCCCGUCACACCAUGGGAGUGGGUUGCAAAAGAAGUAGGUAGCUUAACCUUCGGGAGGGCGCUUACCACUUUGUGAUUCAUGACUGGGGUGAAGUCGUAACAAGGUAACCGUAGGGGAACCUGCGGUUGGAUCACCUCCUUA